RNAcentral lists this ribosomal RNA (406 nucleotides) under uncultured bacterium. RNAcentral describes it as "partial 16S ribosomal RNA". It matches the Rfam family "Bacterial small subunit ribosomal RNA", at positions 30 to 526 of the family's 1533-position model. The record is from RNAcentral.
AUUGAACGCUGGCGGUAGGCUUAACACAUGCAAGUCGAGCGAGCGGCGGACGGGUGAGUAAUGUCUGGGAAACUGCCUGAUGGAGGGGGAUAACUACUGGAAACUGUAGCUAAUACCGCAUACCAUCAGAUGUUCCCAGAUUGGGUUGACUAGUAGGUGGGGUAAUGGCUCACCUAGGCGACGAUCCCUAGCUGGUCUGAGAGGAUUACCAGCCACACUGGGACUGAGACACUGUCAAGACUCCUACGGGAGGGAGCAGUGGGGAAUAUUGCACAAGGGGCGCAAGCCUGAUGCAGCCAUGCCGCGUGUGUGCAGAAGGCCUUCGGGUUGUAAAGCACUUUCAGCUAGGAGGCGGUACUCGCAGAAGAAGCACCGGCUAACUCCGUGCCAGCAGCCGCGGUAAUAC